AUUCAGCUGACGAGUCCCAAAUAGGAUGAAACACGUGUCCUGGAU
This 45-nucleotide non-coding RNA is filed under the name Schistosoma mattheei. The record is from RNAcentral. Lineage: Eukaryota; Metazoa; Platyhelminthes; Trematoda; Strigeidida; Schistosomatidae.